GGGGGCAUAGCUCAGCGGGAGAGCGUCUGCUUUGCAAGCAGAGGGUCUGCGGUUCGAAUCCGCAUGCCUCCA
RNAcentral lists this transfer RNA (72 nucleotides) under Deinococcus maricopensis DSM 21211. It matches the Rfam family "tRNA". From Rfam's summary of the family: Transfer RNA (tRNA) molecules are approximately 80 nucleotides in length. Their secondary structure includes four short double-helical elements and three loops (D, anti-codon, and T loops). Lineage: Bacteria; Thermotogati; Deinococcota; Deinococci; Deinococcales; Deinococcaceae. The record is from Rfam by way of RNAcentral.